AACGCGAAGAACCUUACCAGGCCUUGACAUGCAUCUCUAAACCGGUGAAAGCCGGCGAGUGUCGAAAGACACAAUUUGCACAGGUGCUGCAUGGCUGUCGUCAGCUCGUGUCGUGAGAUGUUGGGUUAAGUCCCGCAACGAGCGCAACCCUUGUGAACUGUUGCCACCGGAGCGAGAGCUCCGAGCACUCUGUUCAGACUGCCUCGCUUAAACGAGGAGGAAGGUGAGGAUGACGUCAAGUCAGUAUGGCCCUUACGGCCUGGGCUGCACACGUACUACAAUGCCCAGCACAGAAUGAUCCGAGACCGCGAGGUGGAGGAAAUCUCUAAAACUGGGCCCAGUUCGGAUUGGAGGCUGCAAUUCGCCUCCAUGAAGCCGGAAUCGCUAGUAAUGGCGCAUCAGCUACGGCGCCGUGAAUACGUUCCCGGGCCUUGUACACACCGUACGUC
Molecule: ribosomal RNA, 449 nt
Filed under: uncultured bacterium
Lineage: Bacteria
Description: bacterial SSU rRNA
Rfam family: Bacterial small subunit ribosomal RNA
Source: RNAcentral